GAAAUGCGAUAAGUAGUGUGAAUUGCAGAAUUCAGUGAAUCAUCGAAUCUUUGAACGCACAUUGCGCCCUUUGGUAUUCCUUAGGGCAUGCCUGUUCGAGCGUCAUCUAAACCUUCAAGCCCUGCUUGGUGUUGGGUGCCUGUCCCGCCUCCGCGCGCGGACUCACCUCAAAUCCAUUGGCGGCCCCCGCGUCGGCCACGAGCGCAGCAGAAACCCGAACUCGUGAGCCCGUCCGGGCGGCUCCCAGAAGCUACACCCACCCAGUUUGACCUCGGAUCAGGUAGGGAUACCCGCUGAACUUAAGC
This 305-nucleotide unclassified non-coding RNA is filed under the name plant metagenome. RNAcentral describes it as "partial contains 5.8S ribosomal RNA, internal transcribed spacer 2, and large subunit ribosomal RNA". The stretch from base 1 to 105 matches the Rfam family "5.8S ribosomal RNA", at positions 50 to 154 of the family's 154-position model. The record is from RNAcentral.